UGGGCUCUGGCCCAAGUGAGGCCUGGAUAGA
This 31-nucleotide non-coding RNA is filed under the name Macaca fascicularis (crab-eating macaque). The record is from RNAcentral. RNAcentral also lists the same sequence under 1 other name. Lineage: Eukaryota; Metazoa; Chordata; Mammalia; Primates; Cercopithecidae.